This 253-nucleotide ribosomal RNA is filed under the name uncultured bacterium. RNAcentral's name for it is "partial 16S ribosomal RNA". It matches the Rfam family "Bacterial small subunit ribosomal RNA", at positions 524 to 776 of the family's 1533-position model. The record is from RNAcentral.
UACGUAGGGUGCAAGCGUUGUCCGGAAUUAUUGGGCGUAAAGAGCUCGUAGGCGGUCUGUCGCGUCUGCUGUGAAAUCCCGAGGCUCAACCUCGGGUCUGCAGUCGAUACGGGCGGACUGGAGUUCGGCAGGGGAGACUGGAAUUCCUGGUGUAGCGGUGAAAUGCGCAGAUAUCAGGAGGAACACCGGUGGCGAAGGCGGGUCUCUGGGCCGAUACUGACGCUGAGGAGCGAAAGCGUGGGGAGCGAACAGG